UUCCGGNUGAUCCUGCCGGAGGUUACUGCUAUCGAGGUUCGACUAAGCCAUGCGAGUCGAAUGCCGCAAGGCAUGGCGUACUGCUCAGUAACACGUGGACAACCUACCCUUAGGACUGGGAUAACCCCGGGAAACUGGGAAUAAUCCCCGAUAGUCCUCGAAGGCUGGAAUGCAUCGAGGGCGAAAGCUCCGGCGCCUAAGGAUGGGUCUGCGGCCUAUCAGGUAGUAGUGGGUGUAGCGUACCUACUAGCCUACGACGGGUACGGGUUGUGAGAGCAAGAGCCCGGAGAUGGAUUCUGAGACACGAAUCCAGGCCCUACGGGGUGCAGCAGGCGCGAAAACUUUACAAUGCUGGCAACAGCGAUAAGGGAACCUCGAGUGCCAGGUUACAAAUCUGGCUGUCGAGAUGCCUAAAAAGCAUUUCAUAGCAAGGGCCGGGCAAGACCGGUGCCAGCCGCCGCGGUAACACCGGCGGCUCGAGUGGUAACCGUUAUUAUUGGGUCUAAAGGGUCUGUAGCCGGCCGGAUAAGUCUCUUGGGAAAUCUGGCAGCUCAACUGUCAGGCUAUCAGGAGAUACUGUCUGGCUCGAGGCCGGGAGAGGUGAGAGGUA
Molecule: ribosomal RNA, 610 nt
Filed under: uncultured archaeon
Lineage: Archaea
Description: bacterial SSU rRNA
Rfam family: Archaeal small subunit ribosomal RNA
Source: RNAcentral